Alligator mississippiensis (American alligator) is the source of this 1539-nucleotide long non-coding RNA. RefSeq lists it as uncharacterized. The record is from RefSeq and is a predicted model, not a curated record. NCBI's taxonomy places the organism in Eukaryota, Metazoa, Chordata, Crocodylia, Alligatoridae. The transcript is spliced from 2 exons.
GAUCCCAGGGGUUUUCUCCAGGGAGGUGGAAGAUGUAGAUCAAACCAGCAGGCGGAUGCGGGAUUUGGACCUGGGUUUUCUGUAUCCCAGUGCACUGAUAUCCCAACAACAGGCAGAAGAGAAGACUAAGCCAAGAGGCAUCAUCAUGGAAAUCAAACAAGAUGGCGUGGGAUAGGCCAUGUGCAAAACUGGUGAUAUUUCGGGAACCAACUGGGAAAAGGAGAAGAGGAAAGUGGAUGUGACAUGGAAGAGGGCAGUAGAGACAUGGAAGUGGAUGGCAGAGAAUAUGAAAAAUGAAGGAAUUUGGAAUGGGUCAAUGUCAGAAAGAAAAGCAGCUGACAGAGGGUUGGAGACACUUCCUUGUAGGCUCCAUUUGGUAUAAAGGAUACUAAGUAAGCCAACAAGCACUUUGUAUUGUUCAGCAGGUAUUGCAAACAGAAUAUAUUUAAGGCAAAAAUUAUACUCUGUUUUGUUGUGCACAAAGUUGAUGUGGCCUUUUCCAUACUGUUCAUACUGGUGAUAUUGUAGCAGAAAGCCCCCUUUUUCUCUUGCCUGCAUUUGCUCUCCCCUCUUUGGAUAUGUUUCUCUUUUUCUACCUUUUCUUCCUUCUUCUCUCUUUCACUUUAAGAUAAGGAAUUGUGUUUUAAAAUUUGUAUGUGUGCAUUUUGUAUCUCCCCUUGUAGUUUGGUAUUUUUAUCUAUUUGUGUGCCAUGGCAUUUGUAGCUUAUAUUUUAUACUCCUCACCUUUCAACUUUCAACUGAAUAUGUUUAGUUUCAUAAGUAAAUUAUACAUUGUAACAAUGUUAACAAGGGCAGGAAUCAAACUGCCCUUCCCUGUAUUAGGCUGGCCUCUGAAAGAGGGAGUGAAUCAGUGAUUGAAUGUGUAACAUAGUAGCAGGCAGCAAUUAUCACCUGGAAGCUGCAGAUCAACCAACAGAAGAACUCAAUAGAAGACAAUGUAACAACCAGGAAAUCUCUAAAUGUCACUGAUCAAGGGCUAGAAGCCCUGGCCUGAGUUAAUCAACGCCAGAGACCAACUUUUGGGCUGAAUAUCUCCAGAUCGACCACUCCCAGAGCCCUAUUCUAAAUUCAUCAACGGACUCCCAAACCUGCACGUACAUGCGGACGACCCCUGGGGCUGACAGAUGCUGUCCAGUAGCUACCGAGGGGGGGGGGGGGAAGUCCCACGAGGGUCAAUGACCCCUGGAUUGGGCAAACCUGAAAACUGGGGAGUCACCAAAGUCUGCCAGGGACAGAUAAAAGGCAGUGAAAAGUGACCCUCAGGGGCGCCCUCUUGAUCUCCAACUCGACCAGACCUGUCCAGACAGAAGGACCAGCCGGCGACCCCCUUCUGGAAGAUAACACCACGCUGAAAGAAGCCUCAGUGACAGACUCCAGCACUUGUAGGAUAGGUAUACCUGACUCUGUAGCCUGCUACUGUGUGUGUGUAUGUGUGUGCAUGUGUGUGUGUGUGGGGACCAGCCCCAAGGUUUAUGAUUACAGUGUUUCAAUCCGCUUAAUAAACUAGAAUUUUAAGGA